GCACCCUCUGGGGGAAGAACCUUCUCCAGAUCCGAAUAUUUUGUCCCUGUAGUGCUGCGUCAGGAGCUCCCUGUGCCUGGUCCUCACCUUCCAGCCCAGGGCUAAUCCUCUCCAGUCACCCAGAGUAUCCUCACAGCAACCCCCAGGGAGGGAUGCAUUUCCCUGGCCGUGCAUAUUCCCAGAGUCCCCCUCACUUCUCCAUGGGAAUUACUGGGAAUGGACUCAUCAGACUCAUUGGGAAGGAGAAGGAGUGAUUCACACUGAGGUUCUUGGAGGGCUUUGUAGGACCUUCAGCCAACAACCCCGAGCAGCUCCAGGCUCUCUCCUGCCAGAACCUCGUUUCACCUCAGACCUGGCCCAAAUUACCUCAGGAACACGGAAGAGCCCAGACAGAGAUGUGGGGAGCAUGACAAGGAA
Molecule: long non-coding RNA, 417 nt
Organism: Myiozetetes cayanensis
Lineage: Eukaryota; Metazoa; Chordata; Aves; Passeriformes; Tyrannidae
Exons: 3
Source: RefSeq, a predicted model, not a curated record